Molecule: long non-coding RNA, 291 nt
Organism: Macrosteles quadrilineatus (aster leafhopper)
Lineage: Eukaryota; Metazoa; Arthropoda; Insecta; Hemiptera; Cicadellidae
Exons: 3
Source: RefSeq, a predicted model, not a curated record
UGUGCAGUCAACCGUACUUCUUCAGCUUUGCACCAAAGGACGAAAACAACGUUUUAUUGGACAAUGUUUGUAUAACGUUUUUUCCUCUGCCGGACGAUCCUGAUACUGUUGUGGAGUACGACUCUUUUGUCUACUGUGACGGUUCGAACUACGUGGAAUCUUUCAUCGCAACUGCUGCUGCUAAAGGAACAUUCAUCACAGCUAACCCCAGGGUAAUUUAUCGGGACUACAUCGUAGGAUACGCUGGGUGUGACAUCCAAGUUGUGUACAGAUGUCCCCAAUUCGGAGGUA